GACAUCUGUAAUAAUCUCAACAAUAAAGAUUUUAAAAAAAGAAUUUGGAGGGACAGUGUUCAAAGGACAGUGCGAUAUAAAUUCAGUAUCUGGCAUCAUUGGUUUUUGUAGUUUCGUGCAUGUUAAACCUGGUGUGUGUUUUUUAACUGAU
Molecule: small nucleolar RNA, 151 nt
Filed under: Myotis brandtii (Brandt's bat)
Lineage: Eukaryota; Metazoa; Chordata; Mammalia; Chiroptera; Vespertilionidae
Description: Small nucleolar RNA SNORA8
Rfam family: Small nucleolar RNA SNORA8
About the family: ACA8 is a member of the H/ACA class of snoRNA that guide the sites of modification of uridines to pseudouridines.
Source: Rfam by way of RNAcentral